UACGAGGACCCCAAGCGUUAUCCGGAAUUACUGGGCGUAAAGCGCGAGCAGCCGGUUGUGUUAGUCUGGUGUUAAAUCUCAAGGCUUAACUUUGAGACCGCAUCGGAAACGGCACGACUAGAGCGGGUGAGAGGUAAGUAGAACGUGCAGUGUAGGGGUGAAAUCCAUUGAUAUUGCACGGAAUACCAAAAGCGAAGGCAGCUUACUGGUGCCUUGCUGACGGUCAAUCGCGAAAGCGUGGGGAUCAAAAAGG
RNAcentral lists this unclassified non-coding RNA (253 nucleotides) under uncultured Parcubacteria group bacterium. RNAcentral describes it as "contains 16S-23S intergenic spacer region". It matches the Rfam family "Bacterial small subunit ribosomal RNA", at positions 524 to 776 of the family's 1533-position model. The record is from RNAcentral.